GACGAACGCUGGCGGCGUGCUUAACACAUGCAAGUCGAGCGAUGAAUUUUCUUCGGAAAUGGAUUAGCGGCGAACGGGUGAGGAACACGUGAAGAAUCUGCCCUCCACUUGGGGAUAACACAGGGAAACCUGUGCUAAUACCGAAUAUUGAAACAUAAGUGGCAUCACUGAGUUUUGAAAGAAUUUCGGUGGAGGAUGACUUCGCGGCCUAUCAGCUAGUUGGUGAGGUAAUGGCUCACCAAGGCAACGACGGGUAGCCGGCCUGAGAGGGCGACCGGCCACACUGGGACUGAGACACGGCCCAGACUCCUACGGGAGGCAGCAGUGGGGAAUAUUGGGCAAUGGAGGAAACUCUGACCCAGCGACGCCGCGUGCGGGAUGAAGGCCUUCGGGUUGUAAACCGCUUUCAGUAGGGAAGAAGCGAAAGUGACGGUACCUACAAAAGAAGCACCGGCUAACUAUGUGCCAGCCGCCGCGUAA
This 480-nucleotide ribosomal RNA is filed under the name uncultured bacterium. RNAcentral describes it as "partial 16S ribosomal RNA". It matches the Rfam family "Bacterial small subunit ribosomal RNA", at positions 28 to 522 of the family's 1533-position model. The record is from RNAcentral.